GACGAACCGUGCGAACGUUGUUCGGAAUCACUGGGCUUAAAGGGCGCGUAGGCGGCUAUCCAAGCCCGGGGUGAAAUCUUUCGGCCCAACCGGAAAAGGGCCUCGGGGACUGGGUAGCUCGAGGGGGGUAGGGGCAAGCGGAACUUCCGGUGGAGCGGUGAAAUGCGUUGAUAUCGGCAGGAACACCAAAGGCGAAGGCAAUAUGCUGGAACAACUCUGACACUCAGGGACGAAAGCGUGGGGAGCGAAUGGG
Molecule: ribosomal RNA, 253 nt
Filed under: uncultured bacterium
Lineage: Bacteria
Description: partial 16S ribosomal RNA
Rfam family: Bacterial small subunit ribosomal RNA
Source: RNAcentral